Manihot esculenta (cassava) is the source of this 1618-nucleotide RNA transcript. It is a transcript of the gene named rhomboid-like protein 14, mitochondrial, with no coding region annotated. The record is from RefSeq and is a predicted model, not a curated record. Lineage: Eukaryota; Viridiplantae; Streptophyta; Magnoliopsida; Malpighiales; Euphorbiaceae. The transcript is spliced from 3 exons.
CUAUAGGCUGCCAUGGAAACCACCUGUCACGGCAGGGCUUCUUGCAGCCAACACUCUCAUCUAUUUGAGGCCUGCUUUUCUCCAUCCUAUCCUCCCUUCUAUUCAUGAGGUCUGGUUCAAUCCCUAUCUCAUUCUCAAGAAAACAUUGAUGUGGGUCGUGGCAGCUGGUAUCUGCUUUGGAAGUACAUGGAUAGUAUUGCUAGGCUUGAUGGAGUAGGAUGGAUAGUGUUUGGAUGAAAAAGAAGAAGUGACAAAAUGCAGAAGGAAAGAGUGGACUCUGAAAAACAGCAGUAGUUUGUUUACGGAGAUGGUUUAAAUGUUCUUUUCUUUUGGCCUUUUUACUUAAAGAAGACUGCCUACCAUAAAUUUUCCCUCCACCUCAGCAAGUGUUGUCAUCACCACAUUAUCAAUUGCAUCCACCCCCAAUUGUCACUGAUUUAAAAUCUCACAGAACAAAUUGAUAAAACUAAAGCAUGGGAUUGUAUUGAAAUGUCUGCAAAGUUCAAGAUAUUUGGAUCAGUAGGCCUAUUUUGUACGUAAAUAUUCACCUUUUUAUUCAACCUUUGCCUUUGAAUGAAACAGUAUAGGGACAUGAAACGUUUCUUCCUCUCACCAUUCUACCACGUUGGGGAGCCUCAUCUGGUGUACAACAUGCUGUCUCUUUUGUGGAAGGGUAUCCAGUUGGAAACUUCAAUGGGAAGUUCUGAAUUUGCAUCUAUGGUUGCUGCACUGCUUACUAUGUCCCAGGGCAUCACGCUGCUACUAGCAAAGUCCCUUCUCUUGUUCUUUGACUAUGAAAAGCCUUUCUAUUCUGAGUAUGCUGUUGGGUUCUCUGGUGUUCUCUUUGCAAUGAAAGUCGUCCUUAAUUCUCAGUCUGAAAACUAUACAUAUGUGCAUGGACUGGUGGUACCAGCGCGCUAUGCUGCAUGGGCUGAAUUGGUUCUUAUUCAAAUUUUUGUUCCUGGGGUCUCAUUUCUGGGCCACCUCGGUGGAAUACUUGCCGGAAUUCUCUAUUUGAAGUUGAAAGGAUCAUUUUCAGGUCUAGACCCAUUGACUUCAGUCGUAAGAAAUCUUACAGGCAUAUUGAGCUGGCCUUUGAAGUUUAUGAAAGGCUUACUUAGACUAAGGCGGCCACGGAUUUCUGGUAGGGGAACUGUGGGAGGGAGUCAGGCAGGAAGGACGGUAUCAGGGGUAUGGAGGUGUCAAGCAUGUACUUUUGAUAAUUCUGUUUGGUUAAGUGUAUGUGAGAUGUGCGGGACAAGUCGAGGCCACAGUGGAUUUUCAUCCAGCCAAUCUCAACAUCAGUAUGACAACCUAACAUUGGCAGAAAUACGUCGAAGGAGGAUUGAAAGGUUUGGUCGAUGAUUGUUCUGUUCUCCUCAAUUAUUUUGAAUAUAUUGGGUAUCAUCUUAUAGCUGAUGCUGGCAAUGGCAUGUUUCUCAUUUCGUCGUGUUAAUUUCAUAGUUCGUUCGAUAGCAAAUUGGUGAUCAUAGGCAUGGCUUGCUUUCUACUCUAAUAUCAAAUUUUGUAAUUAUUAUUUUCUUAUGUGCAGUGAACUGAGAGAUUUGAAUGCGUACCCAUAUAGACAAGUUAUUGCUAAUGCCAUCUUUGUUUUCAA